AAGUCGUAGGUUUCCGUAGGUGAACCCUUCCGCAGGAUCAUUAACACGUAUCCAACGCUAAAACAACCCGUGAACUUUCAGCUUGCUCCUGUAGCCCGUGAAAACAGCAAUCCCUGGUAAAUCAUUGUUGAGCUUUUGAGUCAGGGACCUCCAGUCACGAUCGCUGUAGGCCCACACGGCCGUGCCCCUUUACGACAACUACUGAAUUCGCCGCGCGGCACCAAAAACCGAACAACUGUUAACAAUGGAUAUCUUGGUUCUC
This 262-nucleotide unclassified non-coding RNA is filed under the name fungal sp. Its description in RNAcentral is "partial internal transcribed spacer region". Lineage: Eukaryota; Fungi. The record is from RNAcentral.